UGAGUACCACCAUGUCUGUUGGA
Molecule: microRNA, 23 nt
Filed under: Oryctolagus cuniculus (rabbit)
Lineage: Eukaryota; Metazoa; Chordata; Mammalia; Lagomorpha; Leporidae
Description: ocu-miR-1911-5p
Source: miRBase by way of RNAcentral